This 440-nucleotide ribosomal RNA is filed under the name uncultured bacterium. RNAcentral describes it as "partial 16S ribosomal RNA". It matches the Rfam family "Bacterial small subunit ribosomal RNA", at positions 338 to 795 of the family's 1533-position model. The record is from RNAcentral.
CCUACGGGAGGCAGCAGUGGGGAAUAUUGCACAAUGGGGGAAACCCUGAUGCAGCGACGCCGCGUGAGCGAUGAAGUAUUUCGGUAUGUAAAGCUCUAUCAGCAGGGAAGAAAAUGACGGUACCUGAAGCAUAAGCCACGGCUAACUACGUGCCAGACGCCGCGGUAAUACGUAGGUGGCAAGCGUUGUCCGGAUUUACUGGGUGUAAAGGGGGUGUAGCCGGGUUGACAAGUCAGAUGUGGAAUCCUGCGGCUUAACCGCAGAACUGCAUUUGAUACUGUUGAACUUGAGUACGGGAGAGGCAGACGGAAUUCCUAGUGUAGCGGUGAAAUGCGUAGAUAUUAGGAGGAACACCAGUGGCGAAGGCGGUCUGCUGGACAGCAACUGACGGUGAGGCGCGAAAGCGUGGGGAGCAAACAGGAUUAGAUACCCUUGUAGUC